UCAUUUUAGGUUUUUCAUCAGUGUUGUAAAUAAUGGCAAAAAAUCAACGAUGCAUAUCAACGAAAAAUAAAAUUCAAAAUGAAGCGGAUGUCUGGCUGGUGUUUGUGUUACUUUGCUUUUUGUUGUUCUGUGAAUGAAACGCGCAAAUGGCUGUCUAAUGCUAUUAUUUACAAGAUGUUGAAGAUAAUAAUGGUGUAUAAAUUAAUUCAUUCAAAGUGGAAUAGUUGCUGACACAAUAUUCUAAAAUGGCUCUGUAUGCAGAUGAAAGUGUAAACUCAG
Molecule: long non-coding RNA, 279 nt
Organism: Condylostylus longicornis
Lineage: Eukaryota; Metazoa; Arthropoda; Insecta; Diptera; Dolichopodidae
Exons: 3
Source: RefSeq, a predicted model, not a curated record